AGUGAACGCUGGCGGUAGGCCUAACACAUGCAAGUCGAACGGCAGCACAGUAAGAGCUUGCUCUUACGGGUGGCGAGUGGCGGACGGGUGAGGAAUACAUCGGAAUCUACUUUUUCGUGGGGGAUAACGUAGGGAAACUUACGCUAAUACCGCAUACGACCUACGGGUGAAAGCAGGGGAUCUUCGGACCUUGCGCGAAUGAAUGAGCCGAUGUCGGAUUAGCUAGUUGGCGGGGUAAAGGCCCACCAAGGCGACGAUCCGUAGCUGGUCUGAGAGGAUGGUCGGCCACCCUGGAACUGAGACACGGUCCAGACUCCUACGGGAGGCAGCAGAGGGGAAUAUUGGACAAUGGGCGUAAGCCUGAUCCAGCCAUACCGCGUGGGUGAAGAAGGCCUUCGGGUUGUAAAGACCUUUUGUUGGGAAAGAAAAGCAGCAGGUUAAUACCCCGCUGUUCUGACGGUACCCAAAGAAUAAGCACCGGCUAACUUCGUG
Molecule: ribosomal RNA, 492 nt
Filed under: uncultured bacterium
Lineage: Bacteria
Description: partial 16S ribosomal RNA
Rfam family: Bacterial small subunit ribosomal RNA
Source: RNAcentral